AUGGUGUCCAGCGUCGGGACUGCGGUCUUCGUCGUCAUGGUGAAGCUGGUCAUGACAGAAGCCAAACUGGCCUGUCGCCAGGACAGUGGCACGUUCUCCCUUCUUGUGACGGGGACUCAAAACUGUGAAGACAGCAGCUGGAAGGCUGGUGAUGGCACUGUGCUGGCAUAUGACGAAACUUACAACAAAACUGUGGUGCUGGGGACGGACCAGAGUCCAGGACACUACAGAAUCACCUUCAGGACCUGCCUUCCGGAUGUCACAUUUACCUGCAACAAGGAGGCAGUCAGCUGUGAAUAUACCUGCCCUGGACGAUUUGAUCCAAACCACGGUCCAGCAACCACGGGCGUCGGACCUGCCGAACCAGAGCCCCCCAUGAAUGAGCUCUCUAGGGAACGUGUUGGUAUCAUAGGCAGUGCUCUGGUUGUCCUCCUCCUCAUCAUCAUAAUCAUCAUCAGUGCACUGAGGGCUAAGCAUACAGAUCGUUUUCAGGCUGAGGUGUAG
Molecule: long non-coding RNA, 504 nt
Organism: Pygocentrus nattereri (red-bellied piranha)
Lineage: Eukaryota; Metazoa; Chordata; Actinopteri; Characiformes; Serrasalmidae
Source: Ensembl